UAAAAAACAAACAAAAA
Molecule: small RNA, 17 nt
Filed under: Arabidopsis thaliana (thale cress)
Lineage: Eukaryota; Viridiplantae; Streptophyta; Magnoliopsida; Brassicales; Brassicaceae
Description: ATSL060760
Source: RNAcentral